Nasonia vitripennis (jewel wasp) is the source of this 434-nucleotide long non-coding RNA. RefSeq lists it as uncharacterized. The transcript has 2 exons. The record is from RefSeq and is a predicted model, not a curated record. NCBI's taxonomy places the organism in Eukaryota, Metazoa, Arthropoda, Insecta, Hymenoptera, Pteromalidae.
CACACGCACGCGUCACGCGCAUGAACGACGAGUCUCAUUCAAAGUGUCCGCUAUUCUUAUUUUCGGGCCUCGCGCCAGCCAAGUAUAUAAGUAAUAUUAUCCUCUGCCGAUUUCUCUCCGGUGUAUAAUACGAGCUGCGGGAGCGGAUAUCGCGAGACAUUUCCAGCCGGUACUGAGAGAGCGUUGUUUUGCAAGUGCAGCGCGCGCGAACGAGCCUGAGGGAGAGUGACAUUGGAAGACGAGGGAGAAGAAGUAGGGGCAAAGGCCUCGACCUCGGCGCCGAUCUGCUUGAUGCCGCGCUUGACGCCCCAGAGCUUGGCGAUGAGCGACAUCCUUCCAGCGCCUCUCGUCCGCCGCGCUCUUCAUGCUCGCUUGCAGCACAUUUGGCCGAUGCGUAUCUCAGGUGCAGCAACAGGUCUGUGUAUAAGUAUAAC